GCGGGCAUCGUAUAAUGGCUAUUACCCCAGCCUUCCAAGCUGAUGAUGCGGGUUCGAUUCCCGCUGCCCGCUCCA
RNAcentral lists this transfer RNA (75 nucleotides) under Escherichia coli. RNAcentral's name for it is "tRNA-Gly". It matches the Rfam family "tRNA". From Rfam's summary of the family: Transfer RNA (tRNA) molecules are approximately 80 nucleotides in length. Their secondary structure includes four short double-helical elements and three loops (D, anti-codon, and T loops). Further hydrogen bonds mediate the characteristic L-shaped molecular structure. tRNAs have two regions of fundamental functional importance: the anti-codon, which is responsible for specific mRNA codon recognition, and the 3' end, to which the tRNAs corresponding amino acid is attached (by aminoacyl-tRNA synthetases). tRNAs cope with the degeneracy of the genetic code in two manners: having more than one tRNA (with a specific anti-codon) for a particular amino acid; and 'wobble' base-pairing, i.e. permitting non-standard base-pairing at the 3rd anti-codon position. RNAcentral also lists the same sequence under 2 other names. The record is from RNAcentral. Lineage: Bacteria; Pseudomonadati; Pseudomonadota; Gammaproteobacteria; Enterobacterales; Enterobacteriaceae.